This is a long non-coding RNA of Prinia subflava (tawny-flanked prinia), 9781 nucleotides long. RefSeq lists it as uncharacterized. NCBI's taxonomy places the organism in Eukaryota, Metazoa, Chordata, Aves, Passeriformes, Cisticolidae. The record is from RefSeq and is a predicted model, not a curated record. The transcript has 4 exons.
UUUCGGGUGUUGGUCUCGAGUGUGCACUAUGCAAUUGCUGCCACCCUGCCUUCGUGUUACCAGCGAGCGGAGCGGCUGACAGAGACUGCGGGCGAGGCCGCCGGCCGCCCCCCGGGACGAACCGGGAGUCGUGGCAUGCUGGUACUGGGGGUCUUUUAAGAGUUUUGACAUGAAGACAGAUGGAAAUCUUGAAAUGUCAAGUGAUGUAGCAAGAACAGAUUUAAGCAAGAGAAAGACUUCACCUUUCCUGACAGAGGGAGAUUUUUCACAGGCAAGGAAGGUCUCUCAUUUGUCUGGCUGUUUGGCAGUGCUCUCUGAUGAAGUCCUGUCCAGGCUAUCUCUUCCAGGAGAAGAUGGAACUCUGCAUCAUUUUGUGUAAAAUAAUCCAAUCUCAUUGGGAACUCUUCGGUUGGAGUCUGAGUUAUGGCAUUCAUGGAAUUCCUUAAGAAAAAGAAUGUGAAAGACACGGUUUCAGAAACACACUGCCACUUUAAGAGGAUACAACAUGCCUAUUAAUAAUUGUAUUACUCCUCUAUUAUUGUUAAGAAUAAUGAAGGAAUGGGAGCGUUGGCCCCCAAGCUGAAUUUAUCCUGAAAUGUUUUCAAUUAACUCUUGGCACCGGCAGGAAAGCAUCAAACCUUUCCCAUGCUGAAAUAUGGAAAAUCUGCAGGGAACAUCCCAGCAGGAGUGGAAUUUCAUUAAAACAAGCACAUCAUAAUUCAAUGACUUCUGCACCCUCUUUAAGCCUUUCUAUUGAUAAGGAGUCCGAGGUGAUUUUUAUGGAUUUGCAAAGAGAAAUGAUUUCAUAAGAUCUUUUCAAAGAGUUUGUUUUGGCUGAGGCAUUUGAGUUAUUAUCUGCUCCCUGAUGAAAAAAGAGUAAGACAUUUGGCAUAACUGUGACUACUAAAUAAGAGGCAUAACUGAAGAGACGUUAAACAAAGUUUUAUCCCUCAGACAGAUUUCUGUAAUCUCUGUAGGAACUGACUCCAUAACUAUUUUCCCACAUCUUUUAAAGAAAGUAUUGCCAUUAAAACCUGCACUUUUUAACAACUACAUGUAAAUACUAAAGCAAGCUUGUGUUUAAUUACACAUUCAAAUACAGAUACAGACAUUUUAAUAUUAAAUAUACUCAUGCAUUUAGUAGUGGUAUAUGAGGUAGAGGUGCAUAGUGAUUUAAUAAUAUGCAUAUCACUUUGCCCAUAUGUGGGUUGUCCUAAAAUGUUUGGCUAUCCCGUUUGUAAAUAAAAUUUACAUAUGUGUGGGAUAUAGUGUAUUUUUAAACACUGCUGAAGGCUUAAUAUUUUUUUGCUAAGUCUUGUAUAACUUAAUCUUGAUAUAACUUUUUACCUCCUGCAAAAUAAGUUUUCCUGUCAGGAUAUAGCUAAGGUAUAGAGACAUGAAUUGUUGCUCAUUACAGAACAUUAGCAUUUAUGUUUAUUAACAGGUAUGAUAAUCAAGUAUUUUUGCUAAUCCCCAGUAAAGGCUCAGGCUGGCUGGAUUUAAAGUAUAAGACUGAAUAUCUGUGUCAGUCUUGGUUUCUCUGUUUUGAAGUGGAAUUGAAAAUUUGCAGGAACGUCUUGUCUUUUUUUCUACCCAAUGUUCAAAAAUAUAUUUGUGUAUUUGCUGCCAUUUCCUCCAUGACACCACUACUCCUGAGGCAGGAAGAGCAUCAUGGAGAGUUAGGAAAGCAAGCUGCUGAGGCUGGCACCACACAGACAGGUUGUGGGGAAGAUGUUAAGAGGAAGAUGGUACUUUGGGUGUGCUUUCCAUUGGUAGAGGAAGUGUGUUUUUUCCUAUCCCUGUCCCAUCCUCCUAAAAGGCCUCCAGGCUAAGCAUCUCCAAUGCUGAUUGAGUACACAGCCUCUCCUUCUGAGACUAGAGUGGUACAUGUUACGUGGUGCCAGUUUGACACAUUAACAAAUAGUGGCUAGAUUCACGUGGUUAUCCUUUAGCAAGCUUGGAUGACAAGAGCUCCUUCUAGACAGGCCAAGACCAGAAAACUUGUGUAAAAUCAGCCUGUGUGACUUGAAUCCAGACUGUCACAAUUUCACUGCAUGUCUGUUUUUCAACAUGAGCAGGAGGACUUAACAGACACAUAUAUACCCACAUUUUCACAGCAAUCUGUUUUUUUUUUUUUCAGCAACAAAGUUUUAUUCUGAGAUUUCAGUAGUAUGAUACUCAUUUGCAGCUUACAGUUUUUCUUUCACGUAUAUGACAGAGGAAGAAACCAUGUAGGAGUUAGAGCACUACAAGUUCUAUUCUGGAAGUACACCAGGAUUUUUCUGCUUUCAGUUAGCCAUGUUGCACCAACAGCUUUCACAUCCUCGACAGCCUGCAGCAAGGAGUUCCACUGCCUUACAGCACAGUUUUGAGAAGUUUUCCUCUCCUUUGGCAGGACUUUGCCACCUGACCUUUCCUUUGCGCCACAGUGACUAUAUGGCACUUUUCCACGUCCCUUUCCAAGUUUUCUUUUUCCACAGAACUAUUCCAUCACUUUGAUCAUUCUUCUUGCUCUUUUCUGUACUACAUAAAGUUUUAGUAUAAUGUGGUGGGGAUAGGAGGAGCACAACCAUAGGAAAGCACUCCUCCUUCUUUUAGACGGCUUCUAAAUUCAAGAAUAUGAAAAUUGAUUUGAACCCAAUGAUUCAUGACAGAGGUUUCUUGGGAUAUCUGAAAAUUACUGACCAAAAAUGGCUACUAGUGCUGCAAAUACAGUGAGUCAGUUGAGUUUGCAGUGGAUGAGUCUAGUUGAGAACAGGAAUAUAAUGAGUGCAAGAGGAUUAGAUCUUACAUUUCUCUCAAAGUUUGUUGCACGAUACAGCAGGACCUUCACUCUUUCCUUCUGAUGUCAUUAAAAGACUGAUAACUUACUGUGACCUAUACAGACAGGGAAAUUUAAAUUCAGUGAUUUUUGUGAUACUUUUGAUGGCCAGUAAUGAGAAGAUUUCCCAGGGAAGGAUUGCACUGCACAAUUUCCAGUUUAUACUCAUUUACUUUGUUUUUAACCAUUAUAGACCAGGAUUUCUGCUGCCUUGGCAGUCUUACUGUAGUCCAUUCAAUGAGCAUGACACAGAUUUGAAAGAAAGAAAUGUUGUGCCCUACUGGUUGUUAAGAACAACAAGCUCUACUUUGAUCUCUUUGCUACAUUUCUUUUUUUAAGGAGUUUUAUGUUCUCAUAGUUAGAAAUAUGACAACCUACUGAACCAUAAGAUAUCCAGAUUUUCUUGUUACCCUCUCCUUUUAGACUCCCGAUCUUCCUACUUAAAUACAAAAACUUGUGGGUUUUUUUCUCUGUUACAGCAUCCUGUCAUUCUGCCAAAAGAUUCCUGUGUUUUCUGUUUCUUCUCUUUGUGGUUGCCCACCAUAAGAAGAGUUUAAAGCAGUUCUGUGUUGUAACUCAUCCAGUUAUCAUGAAAUUAGUGUUAUUUUUACCCUUAUUAAGGUAGUGCCUUAUGACAUAAGAGCAACAAUAUUCAAAAGGCAUUUCCUAUCAAACCAGAAAUGCCUUUUAUACCAAAUUCCUCAGGUCUCGAACACCUGAUCUAGCCUAUUGAUAUCAUAUUUAUGGUGAAUAAAGCUUUUUAAAAUUAGGAUUUUUUUACGGGUAAUUGUGAAAAAGCUUUUCAAAAUGGGGAUGGGGACAGCAAAGUUACAACUGACAGCAGAGACAAUAGUGUUGAACAAUAUUAAGAUAAUAAUUAACUUGAGUUUAACUCUCAGAAAAACAGAUUAUCACAGUUUCAAUUGACACUAGGUGCCUGUUAGAAACUCAAUCCCAGAUCUCAGUAGCUUAUGAAUUGCAAUUUUACCUGAGAUCAUUCACUACCCUGCACUGUCUUCCCCCAGAAAAACUAAACACAAAAGGAAAAUCCCCUUUGAGUUUCCUUAAACACGUUUUGAGGUGUGAUGAUAAGAAUGCCUGAAAGCAUUUGUCUAUUUUUAAUUUCCAUAAUUGCAAACUGUUCCUUUAAAAGGUUGUGUACAAACAGUAUUUGUUUAAUAUAUCAGUAAAUAAAGGACAAGAACACAGUAGGGAUAAGGAAUAGGAAUUUUCCCAGAAUAAGGAAAUACUGUUUGAAACAGUAGGUAAAUCAAUUGGAAUUUUGUAUGACUAUAGAUUAAGCCUACUAAAACUUUAAGUUUGAUGAAGCAAUUUCAGGGAGAACAUUUAGCCAUUAUUUCCAAAAUGUUAUAAAGAAUAGAUGAAACUUUGGAAACUAAACUAGGAGAAACUCAUUGUGAAAAUGGUAGAGAGAAGAGGGCAAGAGCCAUGGCAGGACAGGCAAAAGUGUAAAAAGGAUAAGGUAGUGAAGAGGACCAGUGAGGUGAAGUAGUAACAAUUUUCAACAAUAUAAAAACAUUGUUUCAAGGAAGAAGCAAAUAAGUUAUUGCCUUUGUUUAGAAUUAAAUGGUACCUACUCAGGAGUAAAUUUUCAGUCACCGACAGUUUGUAAGAACAUCUGACAAGGUGUAGCUGGUCUGUGUGGCUUAACCCUGUAAGCACUGAGCUGCAAACAGCCUGUUGCUCACUCCCCACCACAUAACGAGGAGGAGAAUCUGAGGGCAAAAUUGAGAAAAACUCAUGGUUUGCGAUAAGAACAACAGUUAAUAGGUAAAGCAAAAGGAGGACUUCAUUUCCUACCAGCAGGCAGGCAUUCAGCCGCCUCCAGAACAGCUGGUCUUCAUCUUGCAUCAUGUAUUUGGAAAUACAAGCACCAUAACCAUGAGUGGUUAGUUGGGGUCAGCUGUUCAGCUCUGUCACCAUACAGUGAUGUCUGGGGACACAGCUGAACCAUACAGUCUCAUGUCCAUCCCCAGACUACUUCAACAGAGGGAAGAUUUGAGAAACAGAGAAAGUCUUGGCCUUGGCAGAACUAUCUUGAACAGCAUAUUGUCGAAACUGUUUUGGUCACAAUUCCAAAACACAGCACCAUAUGAGAUACUAUGAGGAAAAUUAACUCCAUUCCAGUCAAACCCAGGACAACAUGUCUUCGAGGACAGGACUAGAUUAUUCAGAGACACUCUGGAAAACUCAAGACUUGCCCAAAAUAAGUGUUUAUAUAAGGAGAAACAACUGAAAGCAGAACAGUAAAACUUAAAUACAAUAUUAAUGCCAGAGCAUAUUUCUCCGUCCUUUGCCAUAUUACCUUGCACAGGUUCUGUUACACCAAAUGCACAUAAUGUACUGCUAUAUUUUUUGUAUGUUGUUGCUUUUUCUUUUGAAGUCAAGUUUAAUAGUUGAUAAAUUUAAAAGACAAGUCUGGAUCUCAGUCAUCUCAAGAAAUAUGUCUAAAUUAUUUGAGAUUUUUCUCAACAGUACAGGCUGAGUGUAAGUAAGAGUCUAAGUAAGAGUGACAUCCUUUGUCUGUAAUUUUCUCUUUGUCUUUCAGAGAACUUCACAGAAGACAUCCUUUCUUUCCUCUUGCAUGUAUUUAUACAUGUAUAGACACUCAUAUAUAUAUUUUAUGCUGUAUGAUUAUCUUAGCAAUAAAGGGCCAGAGGGAAUCUGCAGAUUAGAAUGAAAGGUGCUGUAUUUUCUAAUAAAUUCAUAUAUGUGGUCCAUGGUUCCACUAGCUGGUCUGUUGCUUGGAGAGAUGAGUUUCAGUCUUUUGUUAGAUGACCCCAAAGUGUCAUCAGGGAAGAGCUGUUGAUGUAUUUCAUUCUCAUACAAAGUGAGCUCUUCUGGUAAGUUUUUACAGUCUUACAUUAUAAACCUAAACAAAUUUCUUUAAUGCUUUAGAGAUAUCUUCUAGUCAGUUCUUUAUACUGCAUGAUGUUUUUGCAAAUUUUAACAGGAAGUAUCUAUGAGAAGGGAGAAUCUGAGGAUACUUUACCUUUCUAUGUAACAAAAAAUGAAUGUAAUUUCUGUUGUAUAAAUGUUAGGAUCUUGUGUAAUUUGAAAACUGCAGUCAGUUUUAGGUGGUAUGUAAUAGGACGCAUGGAUAAUAUAUCCCACAUAGACAGUAUAGGUGAUUACUAAAAAAGCAGCAUUGAUUGCCAUGUCUGUCUUUACUGUAACCUUUCAAGGCUGAAUUAUUUUGUCCCUUUGUAUAUUUAACAUGUUUUCAUUCUGACUACCUACCUUAUAAGGCAUUGUGGGCAAUUUUCUUUGUGUAUACUUUCUUAUAAAUGUAUAACUCAGUUUAUUAACCCUCUCUUUAAGCUUGUGUUUCUAACUGCAUAUGAAACUUCACCUGCAGCCAGGAUUAGUAUUUUCUUUUAUGGAGCAAUUUAUUCGUAUUUGAUUUCAAAAUACAGGAACUGCUGGCAGGCUUCACUGCAAAGAGUGUAAACAUCUUGAAGUAUUGUAGCACCACUCCCUCAGAAAGACGUCUGAAAUAGGUAUGCUACUAUUGUCCCUAGUGUGCAGGUGAGGAUUAGAAGAUCAGAAACAGGGAAGGUGACGUGCUCAAAAUCAUGUGGAAUCUACCCUUCCCUUGGAUAGGUCAGUGAGCUGUUCUCAUGUCUUUGGGGUCCUUUAACCCUUGGGAAGCGUCAAAGACAACAAAAUAAUAGUAGUAAUUAUCACAUAAUACAUAAGUUUUGUGGCUGUUGUUAUUGAGCUUCACCUCUGUUAAGACAAAAUCUUCUAUUAUUGUCAGUAAGGGGAUGUGUUAAAAUCAGAUAGCACAAAUGCCACUUAUUAGUUGAUGAAAGUUAUUUUACUAUAAGGUUAUUCUUGCUGGAGUAGGCACUAUUUUAGAAAUGGGAUAUUUUUUUAUUUCCUCAUGCAUAACUUUCUUCUUUAUAUAGGCAUUAGUGCAGUUACCACACAUUCAUAUCCACUGCAGCCAUUCUCUCAGAUCUAGACUUCAGGAAGCUCAAAUCCAAAUAGUUUUCAAAUCCAAGCUGCCACUUUGAUUUCAUCACAUCAAACCCUUGUUGAGAUCAAACCUUUGAAAUGAGAAAAGAUUUUUAAUCCAGUUACCCCAGAUGGGGUACAACUCUCCAGGUCCUGAGAGCUGCAGGAUUAGGAAUUCUCAAACUCCCCUCACCCACCCAUGAACACACAUGCAGGGAGCAAACAAGCUGCCCAACUUUACAUGCUUUGCUCACAAACAGUCCUGCAAACAAAUCAAUAUCUAAGAAUGGAGAAACAUCUUUCUGCCCUCAUCUUUCUGAUGUAGUGAAGUAUGCACAACCCCAGUAUAGUCUUUGUUUUGUAAACCUAAUACUUUCUAUUCAAUAAAAAUUGUUUUGAAAACUGGUUAAAAUUCAUAGUAACUCUAAAUGAAGCAAUUCACUGUCUACCUGUAACAUGAUUUGCAAAUGGAUGGAGUGAGAUUUCUAUUUCAAAAGGUCUUUGCUUCACUAUCAUAAUACAAUUCUUAGGCUUGGUUUUAAUCUUCAGACAACUUUUUUCUUAAGAUAAAUAUGGAAAGACCACAAACAAUUUGCUGUGCAUGAAAGCUGAAAAUAACAAUUCCAUUAUCAUUAUUAUAAUUUUCAAAUCCAGAAAUCAUUUUGCCCUCAGAUUCAAAUUACGUGGGAGGAUAAUUUGUGCCAAUACAAAUUCCACUUUUCAGCUGACUGAUGCAUUUUUAUAAUGAUAAGAAUUCACAUGCAGUUGAUGCUGUUUACUAAUAGUCUAUAUUAUUAUAAUUUUGGUGACAUCAGACUUGAACUAUAUCCAAAAAGUAUGUAUGUACUGCUAUUAAAUAGAUUGGUAUUUUGCUCUGUUACCCAUGAAAUGGGAUUGAGAAAUUAGUCAUGAGCAGAAAGGCAGAAUAUAAUGGGCAAAAGCACCAGUGAGAAAACAAAGCCAUGUUUAGUUUGUGGCAAUUACAGCUGGCAUUUCUCCAAGAUAUCAAGUGUGUGUCUGUUUCUGUGUCUGUGAAUCUGUGGGUAAGCAUGUACAUAAUUUUUCACACAGCCACAAAAGAUUUAUUCAUUAUCGCUUUUAUAUUUAUUUUUUUAUUAUUUUUGUACUAGUUGUUUUAUCCUUUCUAGGAUAAGCAGCCAAAGGAAGUGACUGCUCACAUUCUCACAAAUGUCAGAUUACUUAAUAUAGUUUUCAUUCCACAGGUAGCAAGAUAAAGACAGAGAAAUAAAGAAAAUUAGGUGACAAAAUAAGUAGAAAAAAUUAGUGAUUGUUACUUUUCUAAGGGAACAAUAAAGAAACAAACAAAUGUCUUUUGAAAAUGACAAGGAAAUAAGGCAAUAUCCAUAAACCUCAGGUUUAUGCGAUUUGCUUCCCUGCCUCCCCCCAAUCGCAAGUAAAGCAGUUAAACUUUAGUCACAAUGAGCAGCAGCCCAGAAGUAGACAGACAGCCACCUCUGUGUGGGGAAGAUUUAUAGGGACCCCUCCCGGGCCCUUUGCAAGUCCGAUUCAUGGGCUGCCCUGACCAAGGCUCAGAGCUGUCGCUCCGAAAAGGGAAGAAGGGAAGGCUUGUCCUUUUUUUUUUUUUUUUUUUUUUUAGAUGACCAUUUGUUAUUAGAACACAGGCUUCCAAAUGACGAAGGAGAGAAAGGGUUGAAGGAAAGAUAUUUUUCCCCUCUCCCUUGUGUGGUCCAGCGUAUUCAAAGCAGGGGCCUGUCUAGUUUUACUGAGAAGGAGGAAUGAGCUGAUUUAACAUGGAUUGCAGCACUGCUGAGAGAGGGGGAGAGCAACUCCCAAUCAAAGUGUGAGCUGUUUUGGUGUCCAUGUGUGUGGAUGUACAAGCAAGAGAAGUGGCCAGUCUCUAGGCACCUUCUUUCUAAGAGCUCAAGGGCAGAUAAUUGAUGUGACAGACAAUUCUCCUUAACCCCCUGCCAACAAAACAGCUCUUGGGCAGCUCACAGCUCUUCUCACUCAAUAAAGGCCUGAACCUAUCACAAAAAACAUGGGAAAGAUUUACUUGUUGUGAAUAGCAGCAACGCAAAUAGGAAUAGUGACCAGCUCUUCCCCACACACUGAUGUGUGUAAAGAAACUGAGGUAUACAAGUAAACAAGCAGAAACAAACAAGGUAAGUCUGUAGGAUGAGUUGGUCCCUGAUAACCUUGUCUCUGCUACUACCAAAGCAGAAUUAUUGUAGUGUUGUGAAAGUGGCUUUUAUUUAAUGUCUAUACAUCAUCUACAUAAAAGAUAAUCUGCAAGACCCUUAUUCUGCCCCCAGCCCCAGCUAAUGGUAUCCUACAGAUUCAUUUAUCAAAUCAUUUGUGCCAACUAAAAGCAGAGUACAUAAAGAGGCACAUGGUUGCUGGAGCUUCUUAAACAAUGUUUCUUGCCUAAAAUUAUACUUUUCUCAUGAACUUGUGUCACACCUGUGAAAAACAUUGCCAGCAACCACUCAGUAAUAAUGGCAAAAAUUUCAUUUUGUCCCAGGUCUGGACAUUUUUUUGUAGUCUGGUGAAGUUCAACUCAAACUGUGUGGGUAAACAUUCUUGUAGCAUAUUGAGUGAUGUGAGCAGCAGGUUGUACCUAGUAAUAACUGGGGAAAGCAAGAAGAAAAAUGCCAAGUCCAUUUUAGCAAAGUAAUUCCAGUGUAGAAUACCUUAAUAUAUAAUCAAAUAUACAUAAAGUAGAGGUGGCUGAAUAUGCAGGUAGUCAGACCUCAUCCUCUGCUAUCAAUAUACACAUGGACAGCAGAACAAGUAAAGAGCUUAAUCAAAGUAUCCCUGCAUUAGAGAGCCCUGGCAUAAAUAAACCCAUUGAGAUCAUUGUCCUGGGCUAGAAUAGAAGGCUAACUGCAAAUUGUGCAAGUCUAAAGCCAGAAACUUUUGGACAAGUUAUGGCAUAUGGUGUGAUGUGAGCAUUUCAGGUAGACAAUAUUGUUUGUAUGCAAAGUAUACCUAUGUACU